Molecule: long non-coding RNA, 337 nt
Filed under: Ananas comosus (pineapple)
Lineage: Eukaryota; Viridiplantae; Streptophyta; Magnoliopsida; Poales; Bromeliaceae
Description: long non-coding RNA (ACOM_LNC003391)
Source: RNAcentral
AAAAUCCAAAAUUUUCUCCUAAAAAUAAAACUCCACUUUUCGGGCUCUUCUCCACUCACGCACCCCACCUAUUUUUUCCCCCUCUUCCUCUGAGUCUCCCUUUCUCUCCAAUCUCCACCCUCUCCACAACCCCAAAAAGUAGGGUUUACCUUCCCUCAUCUCCUCCGUACUCACCUCGGCCGCCACCUCCUCCGCCGCACUCACUUCGGUCGCCGCCGACGUCGCCGCACUUAUUUCAGCCGCCGCCUCCGCCACUACACUCACCUCAUCCACCGCACUCAUCUCGGCCACAGUCACUGCCGCAGUCGAGCACUCGCUUUACUCAUCUCUCGCUGAU